RNAcentral lists this ribosomal RNA (1288 nucleotides) under Klebsiella michiganensis. RNAcentral's name for it is "partial 23S ribosomal RNA". It matches the Rfam family "Bacterial large subunit ribosomal RNA", at positions 1551 to 2819 of the family's 2925-position model. The record is from RNAcentral. Lineage: Bacteria; Pseudomonadati; Pseudomonadota; Gammaproteobacteria; Enterobacterales; Enterobacteriaceae.
UAACGCUGAGGUGUGAUGACGAGGCACUACGGUGCUGAAGUGACAAAUGCCCUGCUUCCAGGAAAAGCCUCUAAGCAUCAGGUAACAUCAAAUCGUACCCCAAACCGACACAGGUGGUCAGGUAGAGAAUACCAAGGCGCUUGAGAGAACUCGGGUGAAGGAACUAGGCAAAAUGGUGCCGUAACUUCGGGAGAAGGCACGCUGAUGGUAGGUGAAGCGACUUGCUCGUGGAGCUGAAAUCAGUCGAAGAUACCAGCUGGCUGCAACUGUUUAUUAAAAACACAGCACUGUGCAAACACGAAAGUGGACGUAUACGGUGUGACGCCUGCCCGGUGCCGGAAGGUUAAUUGAUGGGGUUAUCCGUAAGGAGAAGCUCUUGAUCGAAGCCCCGGUAAACGGCGGCCGUAACUAUAACGGUCCUAAGGUAGCGAAAUUCCUUGUCGGGUAAGUUCCGACCUGCACGAAUGGCGUAAUGAUGGCCAGGCUGUCUCCACCCGAGACUCAGUGAAAUUGAACUCGCUGUGAAGAUGCAGUGUACCCGCGGCAAGACGGAAAGACCCCGUGAACCUUUACUAUAGCUUGACACUGAACACUGGUCCUUGAUGUGUAGGAUAGGUGGGAGGCUUUGAAGUGUGGACGCCAGUCUGCAUGGAGCCAUCCUUGAAAUACCACCCUUUAAUGGCUGGUGUUCUAACGUGGGCCCCUAAUCGGGGUUGCGGACAGUGUCUGGUGGGUAGUUUGACUGGGGCGGUCUCCUCCUAAAGAGUAACGGAGGAGCACGAAGGUCAGCUAAUCCUGGUCGGACAUCAGGAGGUUAGUGCAAUGGCAUAAGCUGGCUUGACUGCGAGCGUGACGGCGCGAGCAGGUGCGAAAGCAGGUCAUAGUGAUCCGGUGGUUCUGAAUGGAAGGGCCAUCGCUCAACGGAUAAAAGGUACUCCGGGGAUAACAGGCUGAUACCGCCCAAGAGUUCAUAUCGACGGCGGUGUUUGGCACCUCGAUGUCGGCUCAUCACAUCCUGGGGCUGAAGUAGGUCCCAAGGGUAUGGCUGUUCGCCAUUUAAAGUGGUACGCGAGCUGGGUUUAGAACGUCGUGAGACAGUUCGGUCCCUAUCUGCCGUGGGCGCUGGAGAAUUGAGGGGGGCUGCUCCUAGUACGAGAGGACCGGAGUGGACGCAUCACUGGUGUUCGGGUUGUCAUGCCAAUGGCAUUGCCCGGUAGCUAAAUGCGGAAGAGAUAAGUGCUGAAAGCAUCUAAGCACGAAACUUGCCCCGAGAUGAGUUCUCCCUGAC